Molecule: transfer RNA, 126 nt
Filed under: Lachnospiraceae bacterium
Lineage: Bacteria; Bacillati; Bacillota; Clostridia; Lachnospirales; Lachnospiraceae
Description: tRNA-OTHER
Rfam family: tRNA
About the family: Transfer RNA (tRNA) molecules are approximately 80 nucleotides in length. Their secondary structure includes four short double-helical elements and three loops (D, anti-codon, and T loops).
Source: RNAcentral
GGCGAUGUGGCGGAACUGGAAGACGCGGAAGUUAUGGGAUGCGGUCAUGUUCGUGACCCAAACAGCGAUUUUCCUGAGGGGACUUUUGAUGGAACAUCACUGCAGGUUCAAAUCCUGCCAUCGCCA